This 253-nucleotide ribosomal RNA is filed under the name uncultured bacterium. RNAcentral's name for it is "partial 16S ribosomal RNA". It matches the Rfam family "Bacterial small subunit ribosomal RNA", at positions 524 to 776 of the family's 1533-position model. The record is from RNAcentral.
UACGAAGGGGGCUAGCGUUGCUCGGAAUCACUGGGCGUAAAGGGUGCGUAGGCGGGGCUUUAAGUCAGGGGUGAAAUCCUGGAGCUCAACUCCAGAACUGCCUUUGAUACUGAAGAUCUUGAGUUCGGGAGAGGUGAGUGGAACUGCGAGUGUAGAGGUGAAAUUCGUAGAUAUUCGCAAGAACACCAGUGGCGAAGGCGGCCAACUGGUCCGGUACUGACGCUGAGGUGCGAAAGCGUGGGGAGCAAACAGG